AGCAGCCGCGGUAAUUCCAGCUCCAAUAGCGUAUAUUAAAGUUGUUGCAGUUAAAAAGCUCGUAGUUGAAUUUCGGGGCCAGUAGGUCGGUCGUGCCACUGGUAUGUACUGACCUCACUGGUCCCUCCUUCUUGUAGAACCGUGAUGCCAUUAAUUUGGUGUUGCGGGGAAACAGGACUGUUACUUUGAAAAAAUUAGAGUGCUUAAAGCAGGCUU
Molecule: ribosomal RNA, 216 nt
Filed under: uncultured Glomus
Lineage: Eukaryota; Fungi; Glomeromycota; Glomeromycetes; Glomerales; Glomeraceae
Description: partial small subunit ribosomal RNA
Rfam family: Eukaryotic small subunit ribosomal RNA
Source: RNAcentral